RNAcentral lists this long non-coding RNA (1200 nucleotides) under Oryza sativa Indica Group (long-grained rice). Its description in RNAcentral is "lncRNA OsMH63_11G008230". Lineage: Eukaryota; Viridiplantae; Streptophyta; Magnoliopsida; Poales; Poaceae. The record is from RNAcentral.
AGUUCAUGCAAAUGCCAUUACAUUGUACAGAAAAAAGGAUGUAAUGCCAUUUUUUUCAUCUAUCCAAAUGUGCAGGGCACAGAGACAGAAUCAAAUGAAGACUAUGGGAUGUUAUUCAGAUUAUCACAGGAGGGAGGCAUCACCUAUACAAAUUUAAUCCAGCAAGUCUCUGUCUCACCUAAUGCAAUUCUUCCUGGUGCUGAGGUGGCAGGUGGUCUUCCUCUGCUCCAAAACACUUAUGGCAGUUUCAUGCAGCUAUUGCAAGCUCCUAUUGAAUCAGAGAGUGCUCUAUAUUUGACAUCCAAUAGAUUUGAGUAUGACAACACCUUUUGGGGUUUUGAUCCUCACAAUGGUUAUCAACAAAAUGACCUACAAAAUGCACAAACAGACACCUCUCAGAUGUGCAACUCUUUGCCACAAAGUGUGGCUGUGCAUCCUCCUGUGGCAUCAUUGGACAUGCUAUAUGAUGAAAUGCAGAAAUCAAGCGCUGAUGUUGAUAAUCAAGCUGAGAUGUACAGGCCAACAGUACAAUUGAAAGCAUCAUCUGUAGAAGUGAUUUAUAAUGAAAUGCAGACUCAAACUAUUAAGGCUGAUGCCUGUUUUGACCAGCACUUUGAGCAAGCAACAGAAGAGGAUUUAUUGUCUGAUCAUGCAAUAGUUACAUUUCAGCAAGUUGAGGAAAUAGAACAAGAUAAAAGUGCAAAAAAUCUAGAUCAAAAUUUUAGUGAGGAAGAUAUAAACAUAUUUCUGGAGAAUGAAAGUGUAGCAGUUGUUCAGAGAGGUGGUCAGGAUGCUAACAGUGCACAUGUGCCGUCAAUCAACAAAGUUUUUGGUGAUGAGAAUGAAGCUUUUGACUUCUACAAUGGUUAUGCUUAUAUGGUUGGUUUCUCUGCAUGCAAAGCUAGCAAUUACCAUAGCAGAAAAACCGAUGUUGUGACAAGGCACACGUUCAAAUGCAACAGGUGGAGGAAACCAAGUGAUCCAAAGGAGAAGGACCUGCCUGAGGUUGAUGAAGUUGAGAAUUGUUUGCAAACAAACACAACAAAUCCAUUAGUAAAAAAGAGAAAACAGAACAAAGUGGUUUACACAAAUUGCAAAGCUGAGAUGGUGAUAACAUUGAAGAGGGGCUUUUGGUACAUUACAAGGCUCAAUCUAGAGCACAAUCAUCCACUAUCUCCACCAGAAGAAAGAAAAUUCCUA